This 66-nucleotide transfer RNA is filed under the name Bos taurus (domestic cattle). It matches the Rfam family "tRNA". Rfam says of the family: Transfer RNA (tRNA) molecules are approximately 80 nucleotides in length. Their secondary structure includes four short double-helical elements and three loops (D, anti-codon, and T loops). RNAcentral also lists the same sequence under 5 other names. Lineage: Eukaryota; Metazoa; Chordata; Mammalia; Artiodactyla; Bovidae. The record is from Rfam by way of RNAcentral.
GACAGUGGCUCAGACGGUAAAGAAUCUGACUGCAAUGCAGAAGACCCAGGUUCGAUCCCUGGGUCA